UGCGGGAAUGGCGGAAUUGGCAGACGCGCCAGGUUGAGGGCCUGGUCGGGGCAACCCGGUGGAGGUUCGAGUCCUCUUUCCCGCAUC
This 87-nucleotide transfer RNA is filed under the name Planctomycetales bacterium. RNAcentral's name for it is "tRNA-Leu". It matches the Rfam family "tRNA". From Rfam's summary of the family: Transfer RNA (tRNA) molecules are approximately 80 nucleotides in length. Their secondary structure includes four short double-helical elements and three loops (D, anti-codon, and T loops). The record is from RNAcentral. Lineage: Bacteria; Pseudomonadati; Planctomycetota; Planctomycetia; Planctomycetales.